Molecule: ribosomal RNA, 207 nt
Filed under: uncultured bacterium
Lineage: Bacteria
Description: partial 16S ribosomal RNA
Rfam family: Bacterial small subunit ribosomal RNA
Source: RNAcentral
CGCGUAGGCGGUUUGGUAAGUGUGAUGUGAAAGCCCAGGGCUUAACCUUGGAACUGCAUCCCAUACUGCCAGGCUAGAGUAUGGUAGAGGGGGGUAGAAUUCCACGUGUAGCGGUGAAAUGCGUAGAGAUGUGGAGGAAUACCAGUGGCGAAGGCGGCCUGCCGGGUGCAAACUGACGCUGAAGCGCGAAAGCCAGGGGAGCAAACG